Molecule: ribosomal RNA, 205 nt
Filed under: uncultured bacterium
Lineage: Bacteria
Description: partial 16S ribosomal RNA
Rfam family: Bacterial small subunit ribosomal RNA
Source: RNAcentral
AGCGAACGCUGGCGGUAUGCUUAACACAUGCAAGUCGAGCGCGAAAGUGACUUCGGUCAUAAGUAGAGCGGCGGACGGGUGAGUAACACGUGGAUAAUCUGCCUUUAGGACUGGGAUAACCCUGGGAAACUAGGGCUAAUACCGGAUAAGACCACAGGUUCCAUGGAACCAGGGGUAAAAGGCGGCCUUCGGGCUGUCGCCGAAA